Pelobates cultripes (western spadefoot toad) is the source of this 665-nucleotide non-coding RNA. Lineage: Eukaryota; Metazoa; Chordata; Amphibia; Anura; Pelobatidae. The record is from the annotation of a GenBank genome assembly.
AUAUUCUACAUGUAUGAGUGUGGGAUGGAUGGUGCAUGAUUGGCUAUAUUCUACAUGUAUGAGUGUGGGAUGCAUGAUGCAUGAUUGGCUAUAUUCUACAUGUAUGAGUGUGGGAUGGAUGGUGCAUGAUUGGCUAUAUGCUACAUGUAUGAGUAUGGGAUGGAUGAUGCAUGAUUGGCUAUAUUCUACAUGUAUGAGUGUGGGAUGGAUGAUGCAUGAUUGGCUAUAUGCUACAUGUAUGAGUGUGGGAUGGAUGAUGCAUGAUUGGCUAUAUGCUACAUGUAUGAGUGUGGGAUGGAUGGUGCAUGAUUGGCUAUAUUCUACAUGUAUGAGUGUGGGAUGGAUGAUGCAUGAUUGGCUAUAUUCUACAUGUAUGAGUGUGGGAUGGAUGAUGCAUGAUUGGCUAUAUUCUACAUGUAUGAGUGUGGGAUGGAUGGUGCAUGAUUGGCUAUAUUCUACAUGUAUGAGUGUGGGAUGGAUGGUGCAUGAUUGGCUAUAUUCUACAUGUAUGAGUGUGGGAUGGAUGAUGCAUGAUUGGCUAUAUUCUACAUGUAUGAGUGUGGGAUGGAUGGUGCAUGAUUGGCUAUAUGCUACAUGUAUGAGUGUGGGAUGGAUGGUGCAUGAUUGGCUAUAUGCUACAUGUAUGAGUGUGGGAUGGAUGGUGC